RNAcentral lists this ribosomal RNA (497 nucleotides) under uncultured bacterium. RNAcentral's name for it is "partial 16S ribosomal RNA". It matches the Rfam family "Bacterial small subunit ribosomal RNA", at positions 28 to 507 of the family's 1533-position model. The record is from RNAcentral.
GAUGAACGCUGGCGGCGUGCCUAAUACAUGCCAGUCGAGCGAACAGACGAGGAGCUUGCUCCUCUGACGUUAGCGGCGGACGGGUGAGUAACACGUGGAUAACCUACCUAUAAGACUGGGAUAACUUCGGGAAACCGGAGCUAAUACCGGAUAAUAUAUUGAACCGCAUGGUUCAAUAGUGAAAGACGGUUUUGCUGUCACUUAUAGAUGGAUCCGCGCCGCAUUAGCUAGUUGGUAAGGUAACGGCUUACCAAGGCAACGAUGCGUAGCCGACCUGAGAGGGUGAUCGGCCUCACUGGAACUGAGACACGGUCCAGACUCCUACGGGAGGCAGCAGUAGGGAAUCUUCCGCAAUGGGCGAAAGCCUGACGGAGCAACGCCGCGUGAGUGAUGAAGGUCUUCGGAUCGUAAAACUCUGUUAUUAGGGAAGAACAAAUGUGUAAGUAACUAUGCACGUCUUGACGGUACCUAAUCAGAAAGCCACGGCUAACUACGUG